This 254-nucleotide ribosomal RNA is filed under the name uncultured bacterium. RNAcentral describes it as "partial 16S ribosomal RNA". It matches the Rfam family "Bacterial small subunit ribosomal RNA", at positions 524 to 776 of the family's 1533-position model. The record is from RNAcentral.
UACAGGGGGUGCAAACGUUGCUCGGAAUUAUUGGGCGUAAAGCGCGCGUAGGCGGCUACUUAAGUCGGAUGUGAAAGCCCCUGGCUCAACUGGGGAAGUGCACCCGAAACUGAGUAGCUAGAGUGCAAAAGAGGGUCGCGGAAUUCCCGGUGUAGAGGUGAAAUUCGUAGAUAUCGGGAGGAACACCGGUGGCGAAGGCGGCAUCCUGGACCAACACUGACGCUGAGUGAGCGAAAGCCAGGGGAGCAAACGGG